CGCGGGGUGGAGCAGUUUGGUAGCUCGUCGGGCUCAUAACCCGAAGGUCACAGGUUCAAAUCCUGUCCCCGCUA
This 74-nucleotide transfer RNA is filed under the name Fidelibacterota bacterium. Its description in RNAcentral is "tRNA-Met". It matches the Rfam family "tRNA". Rfam says of the family: Transfer RNA (tRNA) molecules are approximately 80 nucleotides in length. The record is from RNAcentral. Lineage: Bacteria; Pseudomonadati; Fidelibacterota.